GGCGUAUCACAUGUGAUUACAGUGACAUGAUUGAAAAGAGAUACGAGGAGGAGUAAAGAACCGGAGAGUAUAGCAUCUGUUACUUUCCCUUCUCUUCUUCUCCCCCUUCUUGACACUUCUCUGUUGAGGAGAGCAAGGCAUUUGCCGUGAUAAGGUGGCAUUGCUGCUGCUAAGGCCAACCCAACCCUUGCAAGCAAUCCCAAAAGCAAAAUUCAAAUAUUCAUGAUAUGAUUAUGAGUGAAUGAAAGCGAUA
This 253-nucleotide unclassified non-coding RNA is filed under the name Hevea brasiliensis (rubber tree). Lineage: Eukaryota; Viridiplantae; Streptophyta; Magnoliopsida; Malpighiales; Euphorbiaceae. The record is from RNAcentral.